This 518-nucleotide ribosomal RNA is filed under the name uncultured bacterium. RNAcentral describes it as "bacterial SSU rRNA". It matches the Rfam family "Bacterial small subunit ribosomal RNA", at positions 8 to 521 of the family's 1533-position model. The record is from RNAcentral.
AGAGUUUGAUCCUGGCUCAGGAUAAACGCUGGCGGCGUGCCUAACACAUGCAAGUCGCACGUCCUGGGUCUUCUCGCAAGAGGGGGCGCAGGGAGUGGCGGACGGGUGAGUAACACGUGGGUGAUCUGCCCCGAGGUGAGGAAUACCGGCGAGAAAUCGCCGACAAUACCGCAUAGGCUUGCUUUCGUCAGAGGGAGCAAGCGAAGCCCUUGUCUUUUGCGAGAGGAGGGUGCCUGGGGAUGAGCCUGCGGUCGAUUAGCUGGUUGGGGAGGUAAAGGCUUCCCAAGGCGACGAUCGAUAGCUGGUCUGAGAGGACGAGCAGCCACACUGGGAUUGAGAACGGCCCAGACUCCUACGGGGGGCAGCAGUGAGGAAUUUUCCGCAAUGGGCGCAAGCCUGACGGAGCAACGCCGCGUGCAGGACGACGGCCUUCGGGUUGUAAACUGCUUUUCUGGAAGACGAGAACGGACGGUAUUCCAGGAAGAAGCCCCGGCUAACUACGUGCCAGCCGCCGCGGU